AAUAACUGCAACCAUGGUUUUUCGCGCUCAACUUUGAUCAUUCGUCUUAUUUAAAAAAUUUUAAAAAAAAAUUAAAAAAAUUAGUCACGAGUAAAAUACUAUUCAGGUUUUAUUAUCUUAUAACAACAAAAAUGCUAAUUAUAAAAAAAUUUUAAAUAAGACGGACGAUUAAAGUUGGGCACGGAAACUUAUGGCUGUACUUAAU
Molecule: microRNA precursor, 205 nt
Filed under: Oryza sativa Indica Group (long-grained rice)
Lineage: Eukaryota; Viridiplantae; Streptophyta; Magnoliopsida; Poales; Poaceae
Description: MIR812 microRNA precursor family
Rfam family: MIR812 microRNA precursor family
Source: Rfam by way of RNAcentral